CCAGCUAACAAGAAGCAGCAGCCAGAAACUGGACAACAUUGCAAACAUAAAAAGAACAGUCAAAUCUAUGCGUUAUCUCUGUGGAAAGAAAGAGGCAUACCUCAGGAGAUUUUGUGACUUUGGUUCCAGAUCACUGCAAUAAAGAGAAUAUCACAAUAAAGCAUUUAUCACUAGGAACUUUCAUCUUAGAAUGGCUCUGCUGCAUCCCAUAAGUUUUGGUCUAACUUUGGGAGCCCACCUGCAAGACUGCCUCCUGAAAUGAGACACAACUGUUUAACUGAACUGACCUACUUCAAGACUAAUACUGGUUCAAUGAGAUAGAUAUGGAGGAGAAGUCUUUCAACUCAACUUCUGUACUAUGAAAUUCCUUGAAGAAAUUUCAACAGCUGGGCUGGAGGUGAACAGAAUACGCCACCCUGAAAUAUGCCUCUUUGGCAUAUGGAUUUUCUUGAGCUGGUUACUUUUAAGAAACAGCAGACACAGGAGAAGCUCUGAAAACCAGUAGAAGUUAUGCUUUUGUAAGAGACAUUCACAUUAAUAAGUAGAAAAGAAAUUUCGGUUGCUAUUUGCCUUUGAAUGGCAAGACUCCAAUUCCAAAACAAGAAGUCAAUACUGCUGGAUGGUGCUGCCACAAGGAUUUAAAAAUUCCCUCACCCUCUUCAACGAGACUUUGGCUAAAGAUUUAUGAGGAUUAUACGUGGAUCAAGGUUGAGUAGAGGCCUUCCCAGCCAGAAUGGAAAAAGCAUCAGAAGUGACAACAGCCCUUCUUAAGGACAUUAUUCCUAGGUACGGCCUUCCCUCUACUAUUCAGAGUGACAAUGGAUCUGCUUUUGUCACAGAAAUAACACAAACAGUAAAUAAAGCUUUAGGUAUAAAAUGGAAACUUCAUUCAUCAUGGAGACCCCAAUCUACAGGAAAGGCCGAGAAGAUGAAUCACACCCUGAAGAAAACUCUCACCAAGCUAUGGAGGAAACUCAUCUAAAAUGGGACAAGGUCUUGCCAAUUGCUCUCCUCCAUAUACAGUUGGCCCCUAGAAGCAGGCUAGGAUUGAGCCCUUACAAAAUUAUAUAUGGGAGACAAUUCUUAGCUUCUAAGAGUAAAGAAAGAGAAACGUUUCUCAUGCAGGAGGUAAAAAUUAAACAGUAUGUACAACAGAUUGACCAACUGUUAACUGCUACUCAUGAGUUUGUGUCCCAGAGGUCUCCCCCUCACCUGGAAGUUCCCUUGCAUCCCUUCAAAGCAGAAUACUGGGUGCCGCUGGAAAUGUGGAAAGAGCAAGGACCUGAGCAGCAGCUUGAAGAGAAAUGGAAGGGACCCUAUGACAUUCUUCUUACUACUCAUGCCUCUCAAAUUGUAUGGAAUAAAACCAUGGGUACAUCACACUAGAGUAAAAAGAUUAUCAGAGACUGACCAGCCAGGCCUGCCUAUAGCCAGUGAGCAGAUUCCCAAGAAGUGGACAUCUCACCUUUUGGGAAACCUUAAGUAUUUGUUCUGGCAAGUGAAAUGAAAGUUCUGUUUUCUUAUCCUUUCUCAUACCUUUUACCUUUCCCCACAAAACUAUAGAUUCAUAUGCUGAUUCUUUCAGUAAUUCUAACUGCUGGAUAUGUGGUCAGCUUCCUAUUUCUGGGUCUUCAGGAUUGCCUUGGUGGGUUUGCCCCCUUACAGGGAAUGGUGUGGAAAUAACUGGCAACAAGUCUCCCCAAACCAGUUCCAGACUGGGUUUCAGACUUAUUUUCCUGAAUUCCUAAGAGAAUGAGACAUAUUUUUGUCUACUAAAGUUCCAAUUGUCACUUCUCCUACCUCUAACUGGGUCUGUUGUGCCAAAAAUGGCAGACAAAGAAAUUGAGAUCUUAAUCAUACAAAACUCAGAUCUAGGACUUGGACCUCAAAUAUUUCUAAUUCAGUAUCCAUUCCCCCAAAUUUAGGCAGACUACACCCUAUUUCAGCAGGAAGUAGCCAGAGCAAUCAUUGCCCUGUCCCUGAAAGAUUUGGGGAAAGAUAAAAUCUAAGUGGGGAUUAAAACCAAGUCUCCCUAAAACAGAGUUCCUCUGCCAAGUUUAUGAUUAACAUCUCUAUCCAAAAUGAUUAUUCAUUUUCUUGUCCAACAUCUGUUCUCCUCAAGAUUGAGGAGUAUCAAAGAAAAAGGGAGAGUGAAACUGAGCAGGACCCUGUUGUCUCCUGGGCACAGAAGCCUGUCUGUGUCUCCUGUUUCUUGUUUGUAGGGAAUAGACUCUAGCCUCCAUGACCUUCCCUGAGUUCCAAAGAGCCGAUUUGAACAGCUGCUAAUCAGGAGGGGAUGCAGAGACAAGGGAGGAGCACCAAGAAACAAUAGUGCAGCCUUGGGGCAGGGUUUUGGUUCCAUCUUAAGGGAUAACAAUAUCUUUGAGCUAUUUACAGAACUAAAACCCCCAACAAAUGGAAGAUGUCAGCGUUCUUUAUUCC
Long non-coding RNA from Lagenorhynchus albirostris (white-beaked dolphin), 2442 nucleotides. RefSeq lists it as uncharacterized. The record is from RefSeq and is a predicted model, not a curated record. The transcript is spliced from 5 exons. NCBI's taxonomy places the organism in Eukaryota, Metazoa, Chordata, Mammalia, Artiodactyla, Delphinidae.